This 677-nucleotide unclassified non-coding RNA is filed under the name Hevea brasiliensis (rubber tree). Lineage: Eukaryota; Viridiplantae; Streptophyta; Magnoliopsida; Malpighiales; Euphorbiaceae. The record is from RNAcentral.
AUUGAGUUUUGUCAUCAUAAAAAAUGGAGAGAUUAUUGGCCUCAUGAGCUCAAAGAAGCAUGAAUUUUGAUGAUAGCAAAACUUAACUAGAAUCAAACUAACUUUUCUUUAAAUGUUGUGAUAUUUCUUCUUAAGGAUUUAAAGAAAGAUUCAUGAGUUGGUGAAAUUAUGCCUUAAAGAAAGAUGACAUUCUAACGCAACUCAAGAUGAAUCAAAGACAAUAAAGAUAAAGCUACCUUCUAAGCUAUAUUGAAGAUCAAAGUGAGGGUACAUAGUUUAGAGAAUUGUUUAAGAUUCUUAAAAGUAUUUGUGAAAAGAAUUGAGUAAAGCCAAUGAAAUUAACUUUUAAUCCCUCAAAUUUUUAUCCUAAGUUUUUAUAGCUUGGUUUUAAGUUUUGAAUGGCCUAAAAGUAUUUCACUGUGAUCUGGUUUAAAGUUUUCAAUUUUUCAAACUUGAGCAGAAAAAGGUUUGUACGUUUGCUAACUGGUUUGCUACUGUUCCUGAUAUACUAACUAGUUUGCUAACAGACUCAAGUUUGCACAACAUUGCAGAAAAAGACAAAAUAACGGCUAGUUUCUUCAAAUUUGAAUUUAUAACGUUCAAAUGGGUUUUCAAAUGGUCAAAAAUGGUUUGAGACUAUCAAUACACUUAUUUUUGGCCAUUUUGCACUUAAUGAA